GGGCGUAUAGCUCAGCGGGAGAGCACCGUCUUCACACGGCGGGGGUCCCUGGUUCAAUCCCAGGUGCGCCCACCA
This 75-nucleotide transfer RNA is filed under the name Rhodospirillaceae bacterium. Its description in RNAcentral is "tRNA-Val". It matches the Rfam family "tRNA". From Rfam's summary of the family: Transfer RNA (tRNA) molecules are approximately 80 nucleotides in length. Lineage: Bacteria; Pseudomonadati; Pseudomonadota; Alphaproteobacteria; Rhodospirillales; Rhodospirillaceae. The record is from RNAcentral.